Molecule: ribosomal RNA, 497 nt
Filed under: uncultured bacterium
Lineage: Bacteria
Description: partial 16S ribosomal RNA
Rfam family: Bacterial small subunit ribosomal RNA
Source: RNAcentral
GAUGAACGCUGGCGGCGUGCCUAAUACAUGCAAGUCGAACGCAUAGCGAAAGGUGCUUGCACCUUUCAAGUGAGUGGCGAACGGGUGAGUAACACGUGGACAACCUGCCUCAAGGCUGGGGAUAACAUUUGGAAACAGAUGCUAAUACCGAAUAAAACUUAGUGUCGCAUGACACAAAGUUAAAAGGCGCUUCGGCGUCACCUAGAGAUGGAUCCGCGGUGCAUUAGUUAGUUGGUGGGGUAAAGGCCUACCAAGACAAUGAUGCAUAGCCGAGUUGAGAGACUGAUCGGCCACAUUGGGACUGAGACACGGCCCAAACUCCUACGGGAGGCUGCAGUAGGGAAUCUUCCACAAUGGGCGAAAGCCUGAUGGAGCAACGCCGCGUGUGUGAUGAAGGCUUUCGGGUCGUAAAGCACUGUUGUAUGGGAAGAACAGCUAGAAUAGGAAAUGAUUUUAGUUUGACGGUACCAUACCAGAAAGGGACGGCUAAAUGCGUG